This 262-nucleotide unclassified non-coding RNA is filed under the name uncultured fungus. RNAcentral's name for it is "partial contains 5.8S ribosomal RNA, internal transcribed spacer 2, and large subunit ribosomal RNA". The stretch from base 1 to 52 matches the Rfam family "5.8S ribosomal RNA", at positions 103 to 154 of the family's 154-position model. The record is from RNAcentral. Lineage: Eukaryota; Fungi.
AACGCACAUUGCGCCCGCCAGUAUUCUGGCGGGCAUGCCUGUUCGAGCGUCAUUUCAACCCUCAGGCCCCCAGUGCCUGGUGUUGGGGAUCGGCAGCAGGGCGUCAAGCCCGCCGUCCCCGAAAUCUAGUGGCGGUCUCGCUGUAGUCCUCCUCUGCGUAGUAGCACAACCUCGCAGCUGGAACGCGGCGGUGGCCAUGCCGUUAAACACCCCACUUCUGAAAGUUGACCUCGGAUCAGGUAGGAAUACCCGCUGAACUUAA